RNAcentral lists this ribosomal RNA (906 nucleotides) under uncultured archaeon. RNAcentral's name for it is "bacterial SSU rRNA". It matches the Rfam family "Archaeal small subunit ribosomal RNA", at positions 21 to 903 of the family's 1478-position model. The record is from RNAcentral.
CCUGACUGCUAUCGGAGUGAGACUAAGCCAUGCGAGUCGUACGUCCCUCGGCUGCGAGGGGCGUGGCGAACGGCUCAGUAACACGUAGCCAACCUACCCUGAAGACGUGGAUAACCCCGGGAAACUGGGAUUAAUCCACGGUAGGCCAUGACUUCUGGAAUUGGGUCAUGGCUGAAAGGGAUGGAUAGGCAUGCUCUAUUCAUCCCGCUUCAGGAUGGGGCUGCGGCCGAUCAGGUAGUUGGUGGGGUAAUGGCCCACCAAGCCUAUAACCGGUACGGGCUUUGAGAGAAGGAGCCCGGAGAUGGACACUGAGACAAGGGUCCAGGUCCUACGGGGCGCAGCAGGCGCGAAGACUUCGCAAUGCGCGAAAGCGCGACGAGGUUACUCCGAGUGCCGUCCGCUGAGGACGGCUUUUCCCAGGUCUAAAAAGCCUGGGGAAUAAGGGGAGGGUAAGUCUGGUGUCAGCCGCCGCGGUAAUACCAGCUCCCCGAGUGGUCAGGACGAUUAUUGGGCCUAAAGCGUCCGUAGCCGGCCCUGUAAGUCUCCUGUUAAAUUCAUCGGCUCAACCGAUGAGCUGCAGGAGAUACUGCAGGGCUAGGAGGCGGGAGAGGCGGACGGUAUUCCGUGGGUAGGGGUAAAAUCCUCUGAUCCACGGAGGACCACCAGUGGCGAAGGCGGUCCGCCAGAACGUGCUCGACGGUGGGGGACGAAAGCUGGGGGAGCGAACCGGAUUAGAUACCCGGGUAGUCCCAGCUGUAAACGAUGCGGGCUAGGCGAUGGGAUAGCUACGGGCUAUCCCAGUGCCGCAGGGAAGCCGUUAAGCCCGCCGCCUGGGGAGUACGGCCGCAAGACUGAAACUUAAAGGAAUUGGCGGGGGAGCACCACAAGGGGUGAAGCCUGCGGUUU